GUUUCUAGGUCUUUUUGUCUGGGUGUGUAUGUGUGCGUGUGUAUGGGUGUGUGUAGACGAGGGAAACGGGAGGGGUAGCGGUGGUCACAAGGGAUAGAGGGAAGUGCAGGGCGGAGGGGGUGGGUGGGGGCAGAGGCGUGCGAGUAGCAGAGAGGGGAGGAAGGAGGGGGCAGACAGAUCAGGGGCAUACUGUACCUUGGAGUGGAUGAAUCAAAGCGUGUGAGAUGGCCAGUGUCUGGGUUGUGUGUGUCUGCAAGGUAGUAGCACAGACAAAUCCACAGUCAGUCACUCAGACACGCACACGGACGUAUGCAUGCGGAGGGCAGGGGUUGAAAUGAUCAGAAACAGUUACAGGAAAGCCAGCAGGGCAGACAGAGGGCAGGAAGGAGGGAUCGACAGAACCAUUGGGGGUAGUGAAAAAAAAAAUUAAGGGGCAUAAUAAAGUGAGGGGCUCAGAGGGGGGUGUAAUCCAGUGUUGCAUGUUUGUCGGCUGACUGGCUGUCCUCGCGUUCGCACACCUUCUCUUUCCUCGCCAUCCCCUUCCCAGUCCGCCUGGCUGGCCUACCUCGCUUGCUCCUUUGCGUGGAAGAAGGGAAAAGGGCAGUGGCAGGGAAAGAAUCACCUAUGGCUGCUCGACCGGCACUUGGCCACGCAUGACAUCACAUCCAAACACAGGGCAGUGGGUGGAUUGGAGGACAGUUAAGAACCAUCUUCAUUUCCUCCUCCCCCUCCUGCUCCAUUGAUCUCUCCUUGUCUCCUGGAAACAAGAAGAAGACCAGCAGAAUAAGCCAUACUGGAAAUGGUAUAAAGUGUGUGUUAUGGAUUUUUAUCUGAUUCUGCAAGUAACAGCUAAUUUCAAUACUGACUAAUAUGUACAUUUCCCAAGACCUAGGAAACACUGUCAUAUUGCUUGUUUUGACCAACAGCACAGCAUAAGCCUAAUAUCCUUACAUUUGAAGAACUGGAUCAGCAUUUUUACUUGAAAAAUAAAAUGAUUAUCAAAAUUACUAUUGGUUAAUUUUGAUAAUCAACUUA
This 1035-nucleotide long non-coding RNA is filed under the name Sparus aurata (gilthead seabream). RNAcentral's name for it is "lncRNA (ENSSAUG00010024060.1)". Lineage: Eukaryota; Metazoa; Chordata; Actinopteri; Spariformes; Sparidae. The record is from RNAcentral.